This 478-nucleotide ribosomal RNA is filed under the name uncultured bacterium. RNAcentral describes it as "partial 16S ribosomal RNA". It matches the Rfam family "Bacterial small subunit ribosomal RNA", at positions 28 to 523 of the family's 1533-position model. The record is from RNAcentral.
GACGAACGCUGGCGGCGUGCUUAACACAUGCAAGUCGAACGGUAAGGCCCUUCGGGGUACACGAGUGGCGAACGGGGGAGUAACACGUGGGUGCUCUGCCCUGCACUUCGGGAUAAGCCUGGGAAACUGGGUUUAAUACCGGAUAGGACUCCUGGCUUCUUGGUUGGGGGGGGAAAGCUUUUGCGGUGUGGGAUGGGCCCGCGGCCUAUCAGCUUGUUGGUGGGGUAAUGGCCUACCAAGGCGACGACGGGUAGCCGGCCGGAGAGGGUGACCGGUCACACUGGGACGGAGCUACGGCCCAGACUCCUACGGGAGGCAGCAGUGGGGAAUAUUGCACAAUGGGCGCAAGCCUGAUGCAGCGACGCCGCGUGAGGGAUGACGGCCUUCGGGUUGUAAACCUCUUUCAGCUAUGACGAAGCGCAAGUGACGGUAGUAGCAGAAGAAGGACCGGCCAACUACGUGCCAGCCGCCGCAGUAA